CACGGUGCGCUCACCCACUGACCUGCGCCCACUGUCUGGCACCCCCUAGUGAGAUGAACCGGGUACCUCAGAUGGAAAUGCAGAAAUCACGCGUCUUCACUGGGAGCUGUAGACCGGAGCUGUUCCUAUUCGGCCAUCUUGGCUCCUCCCCCUACACACAAGAGUUUCUAUUAGCUGAAAGAAGCUAAACCACUCCAGGAAGACCAAAGAAGCAAAUCAUACAUCCAAGUUAUCUGGCAACAACUUCAUUGAUUUAGUCAACAUUGAGUAAAACAGGAAAAGGAAUAGAACUUCAUUGUUAACUAAUCCAUUCUUGAAAAUAACUCACAGCCCAGCCUGUCUAAAACUGGGUGGACUGGAGGAAAUUUGGUUCAAAAAUUUUUGCUCCACAGGCUUUUGCAGUUCCACAGCACUUUGUAUUUUCUAAGAUGCUUCCAGAAUCAGUACCUUGUUUGUGCUUCAUGGGUAAUUUGGGAAGGAGUGAGGACAGAGAUAAUUUCUAUUUAAUAAAUAGAUAAGAACAUGAAAGCAAAAAAAUGGAAUGCCUUGUCCUAUUUCAAGUUGUGAGUCAAUGAUGUACCCAGAAUUGGAACAUGAAUAUCUGACAGUUGAUCUGGUUGUGUGGAAAUAACUGGAUAAUCUAUUUAAUCAAGGGCCUAUUCUCUGAGAUGGUUCCUAACUAACUUCUUUUGGACAUGACAAAUAUACGCAUAUAUACGCAUAAGGGGAAUAACUUUAAUAUAACUUUAUUUUCAAACUCUUCUUAACCAUCUCUUCUUUCCAAAUAUGGUGGUGUAAUUAGACUACGGCAUGUAUAGGUAAACUAGAUUUUUGUAAGUGGCACUGAAUUUGUCUUAGUCUUUCUCAAAAUUCAGCAACUAUAUUUGUUAUCUUUCAUUCAUCAGGAUUCAGAGAGCAAAAAAAUGUGUUUUAAAAAGUCUGAUUUUAUGAAUAAUUUGUGUUCAUUAAUAAUAUAUAAGGAAUAUGUAAAUAUUAUUCAACCACAAAAAAAUCAUCUUACAGGAACAACUAAGUCGGAUGAUCAGACCUUUCCCAAUUUAUUGCUGUGCCUCGUAUUAUGGAAUAUUUGUGCAUUACCAGACUCAGUCAGAAAAUAAAGGCAGCAACAAUCACCAAAAGAUGAAAAACAUUCAUCUUUUAUGUAGCAGAUUCUGAUUCUGUGAAAUCACCUGGCUGAUUAUCAGGGGAUAUAAGACAAAACAGAAGAGUUCAUUCUUAGAUUUCAGGGACUUCCAAGUAAGCUGUAGUAAUAAGGUAUCCUAAAAGGAAAGAUCUAGGUGUCUGACAGUUGUAGGAUCACAUGUGAAUAUACUC
Molecule: long non-coding RNA, 1335 nt
Filed under: Homo sapiens (human)
Lineage: Eukaryota; Metazoa; Chordata; Mammalia; Primates; Hominidae
Description: HSALNT0050193
Source: RNAcentral